UGAAUUUCUUGGAAGAAAUUUUUUGCCAUGCAUUUAUGAGAGCCAAUUUUGUUGAAAAUGGAUGGAUAUGCAUUUAAUGAGGAAGGUGAAAUUUUUCCUAUAAAUUGGAGCCAAAGUAGGAGGAAAAAGGUGUGCCAAAACGUGAGCAAAAGGGAAGUGCAAGAAAAUCAUGUAGAGUGAAAACACGCGAGAUAGUGAGCAAGCACAAAGUGAGAAGCAGUUAGGCUUUCGUUUGUGCAGGAAAUUAACGAGAGAAAAUUGAGAGAUUGUCUUUGCGUAGGCAAAUAAAAUACAGAGAGUGUAUUUGUUGUAUUUCUUUUAUUCUCUUAUUGAUACAGUAAAAGAAUUGGUGUGUGUUUGUGGACGUAUGCACUAUUGUCGAAUCACGUAAAUUCUUGUGUCACUUGCACUUAUUAUUUUUUGCUACAUUUAUUUCUUCUCAGUUCAAAUUAUUUUUGCAUUCCACUGAUCCUGGCAGAAUUAGUAGCGGUCUAAUUUCCUAAUAUUAAUCAUGUCCGAAACAAAACACAAUAAAUAAUAAAUACUUUCUUUUUCCCCAACUUACAUAAGCAUCAUAUCAUACUGAUGAAAUCUGCUCAUUUGGUGGCACAAGUCCUAUUGAACUAUGUGCAUUUGACAAAUCCGCUCACUCCUCAUGCAAUUUUUUGGCACCAAAUUACUUGACUGAUUAGCUAAACAAUCCGUUGGUAAUGUUGCAAAGACUGGCGAAUCUGUUUACACUCUAAAGGCGACCCAGGGAAGAAUUAACAGAGCAAUUUCGGAAUCUCUCAACGGGAGAAUCAUAAGUGCUAGUGAAGAUGGUGUAAUACGUAUUUUGAAUUUUGAGGUUAGAAAAUGAAUGUUCUCAUUUUGAUUGGUGUCUUAUGAUUUCUCUCUACCCUUUUUAGAGAGAAAAAUAACAUGUAAUAAAUGCUAUCUGUUGAAGAUUUUGGCUUGCAUUAAAUGUUUACUAGCUUAUCAGCACCUUGAGCUAUAUCUUUCUGAGUUCAUGCUAUAUUGCCUUUUGUUUUCUUAGUGGGAGAAUCAAAAUGAUUGCAAGCUUGUCACACAUAGUUGAACGAGUUUUGCAUUCACA
RNAcentral lists this long non-coding RNA (1096 nucleotides) under Olea europaea subsp. europaea. Lineage: Eukaryota; Viridiplantae; Streptophyta; Magnoliopsida; Lamiales; Oleaceae. The record is from RNAcentral.